AACGCAAAUUGCACUCUCUGGUAUUCCGGGGAGUAUGCCUGUUUGAGGGUCAGUUUAAAUAAAAAUCGAGGUGUUGCUUUUUGCGACGCCAUCGGAAUUGGGUUUAUCUUUUAUCCUUCUGGAUUUAAGAGACCUAAAAUUGAUACCUUGUGCAUCUCAAGACGUACAUAAGAAUAUUUUUUUUUUAUCCGUCCACAAAGUUGGCCAACUUUUUAUUAGGUAUGACCAUGGUAUUUUUUUGUGGUAUCGUGCCUAUAAUAACAUAACUCAUAUUUUGACCUCAAAUCAGGUAGGAGUACCCGCUGAACUUAA
Molecule: unclassified non-coding RNA, 312 nt
Filed under: uncultured fungus
Lineage: Eukaryota; Fungi
Description: partial contains 5.8S ribosomal RNA, internal transcribed spacer 2, and large subunit ribosomal RNA
Rfam family: 5.8S ribosomal RNA (bases 1-52)
Source: RNAcentral